UUGAUCUGCUUGACCUUUUUGAGAGGAGUGUCGCUUGCUUAAUUUUUUGCAUUAUCUGGUUUUAGCCCUUUUAUCUUGAAACAUUCAGCUGUUUACAAUUUUGAACAACUAGUUUUGUAUUUGAAGUAUCCAUGUUCUUGCUGAACGAGUCUCUUGAACUUAAAACAAUAGUUUCUAGUAAAAUUUUGUGUUGAAAGUAUACAUUUCCUUGCAGUGAUCGAGUUUCUUGAAUCUCAAACAAAUAAAAUUCUAG
This 253-nucleotide unclassified non-coding RNA is filed under the name Hevea brasiliensis (rubber tree). The record is from RNAcentral. Lineage: Eukaryota; Viridiplantae; Streptophyta; Magnoliopsida; Malpighiales; Euphorbiaceae.